AUGUCACCGGCAGAGCCGACGCGAGACGAGAGCGUCUACAUGGCCAAGCUUGCGGAGCAGGCCGAGCGCUACGAGGAGAUGGUGGAGUUCAUGGAGCGCGUCGCGAAGGCCACCGGCGGGGCAGGGCCCGGGGAGGAGCUAUCCGUUGAGGAGCGCAACCUGCUCUCUGUGGCUUACAAGAAUGUCAUCGGGGCCCGGCGCGCGUCCUGGAGGAUCAUCUCCUCCAUCGAGCAGAAGGAGGAAGGUCGGGGCAACGACGCGCACGCCGCCACCAUCCGCUCCUACCGCAGCAAGAUCGAGGCCGAGCUCGCAAAGAUCUGCAACGGCAUCCUCGCCCUGCUUGAUUCCCACCUCGUGCCAUCCGCCGGAGCUGCCGAGUCCAAAGUCUUCUAUCUCAAGAUGAAGGGCGACUACCACAGGUACCUUGCAGAGUUUAAGUCCGGUGAGGAGAGGAAGGAAGCCGCCGAGAGCACCAUGAACGCGUACAAAGCUGCUCAGGAUAUCGCCCUAGCAGAUUUGGCUCCAACCCACCCCAUCAGGCUUGGGCUUGCACUCAACUUUUCUGUGUUCUACUAUGAGAUCUUGAACUCCCCUGACCGCGCCUGCAACCUUGCGAAACAAGCCUUUGAUGAGGCUAUAUCAGAGCUGGACAGCUUAGGCGAGGAAUCCUACAAGGACAGCACUUUAAUCAUGCAGCUCCUGCGUGACAAUUUGACUCUAUGGACAUCCGACACCAAUGAGGAUGACGUUGAUGAGAUUAAGGAAGCCCCAGUUCCAAAAGAAUCUGGAGACGGACAGUGA
This 801-nucleotide ribosomal RNA is filed under the name Triticum aestivum (bread wheat). Its description in RNAcentral is "partial small subunit ribosomal RNA". The record is from RNAcentral. Lineage: Eukaryota; Viridiplantae; Streptophyta; Magnoliopsida; Poales; Poaceae.